GGCUAAGUGGUGCAGUGGAUAGAGUAUUGGCCUUGGAAUCAAAAGGAACUGAGUUCAAAUCUAGUCUCAGUCA
This 73-nucleotide transfer RNA is filed under the name Sarcophilus harrisii (Tasmanian devil). It matches the Rfam family "tRNA". Rfam says of the family: Transfer RNA (tRNA) molecules are approximately 80 nucleotides in length. Their secondary structure includes four short double-helical elements and three loops (D, anti-codon, and T loops). Further hydrogen bonds mediate the characteristic L-shaped molecular structure. tRNAs have two regions of fundamental functional importance: the anti-codon, which is responsible for specific mRNA codon recognition, and the 3' end, to which the tRNAs corresponding amino acid is attached (by aminoacyl-tRNA synthetases). tRNAs cope with the degeneracy of the genetic code in two manners: having more than one tRNA (with a specific anti-codon) for a particular amino acid; and 'wobble' base-pairing, i.e. permitting non-standard base-pairing at the 3rd anti-codon position. The record is from Rfam by way of RNAcentral. Lineage: Eukaryota; Metazoa; Chordata; Mammalia; Dasyuromorphia; Dasyuridae.